Homalodisca vitripennis (glassy-winged sharpshooter) is the source of this 1085-nucleotide long non-coding RNA. RefSeq lists it as uncharacterized. The transcript has 2 exons. NCBI's taxonomy places the organism in Eukaryota, Metazoa, Arthropoda, Insecta, Hemiptera, Cicadellidae. The record is from RefSeq and is a predicted model, not a curated record.
AAUAUUAAGCCGUACCCAUACUUUUCAAACACCCUGUAUAGUGUAAUAGAGCACUCGUGUGGCACUGGACUAGACAACAGUCCCAUAAGCAGGGACUAGAGCACAAAUAAUUGUUUACCCUACUGCACCUAUCCGGUAACUGGUUGUCCCUUAUCUUAGUUGAAGUUGAUAACGGAAUUCGGGGUUUUCCGGCGUUGCCGGUUUUCUCGAGUUGCAGGGUUGCCAUUUACUACUGGAGGGUCUUAUAAGUAAUAAUAAAAUUACUGGAUGAAUAUAAAGACAGACAGCAUUUAGUAGUAGGGAAAUAUAUUUUUAGUGUAUUCUGUGUUGCGCUCAUGCAGGCGCACGGAGAGUGGCAUAGACUGUUCUUAAACAUUUCAAAUACUGAACUGACUUUUUAAUAUAAUCAGCUAACAACGUUACUAUCAACGUACUUAGCUUAGUCCUUAAAAUGUAAAACAAAAUCAUAACCGAGGAAUAAAAUCAUUAUCAUAAUUGUCGUUCAGUAUUACACAAUACAAGAAUGACGAAGUUCGAUCCUUAGUUAUUGCUGUUAUAUUAUUUUAUUGCUUCCCGGUGGUCUGUGAUAACCCGUUAUCGUUUACACACACAUCAGAUUAACUGUUCAAUAAAAUCUGAGUCAAAUAUUACACGAUAUCGUGAUGUCAUUUCAAGGUUGGCUAUACAUUCGACCACAGUCCACAAUGCCCGCGCUAAGUCAAGGCUCCGUGUUCGAGUUUGUAAUCUUUGUUAUUCUAAUUAUUGGACUGUUCAUUGUUCAUUACGAAGAACCAUGAUAUUUUUGUAAUAUUCCGAUAAUUAUGGAAUGGGUUACCGUGAGUAUUCAUUAUGGCUUACACACACUUUCACCAUGCAACGCCGAGUCAUUUCUCACAAAUAUGGCCACUGGUACAAAUCAAGCAACCUCUGGCAGAUGACAAACCUUCUGCAUCCAAGAAGAAUUCAGCAAACGCAUAAAUGACUGACUACUCACUUGUAUACAUAGUUAUGAAAGAGGAGGCAUAAUGAGCAGACAGUUCAAUGUAAUACCAUAAUAAAUUAUAUUAUUUUCUAGUGGAAGUGUA